GGACCCGCACAAGUAGUGGAGCAUGUGGUUUAAUUCGAAGAUACGCGCAGAACCUUACCAACACUUGACAUGUUCGUCGCGACUUUAAGAGAUUAAAGUUUUCGGUUCGGCCGGACGAAACACAGGUGCUGCAUGGUUGUCGUCAGCUCGUGCCGUGAGGUGUCAGGUUAAGUCCUAUAACGAGCGCAACCCCUACUGCUAGUUGCUAACAGGUUAAGCUGAGGACUCUAGUAGGACUGCCUGUGAUAAGCAGGAGGAAGGUUGGGAUGACGUCAAGUCCUCAUGGCCCUUACGUGUUGGGCUACACACGUGCUACAAUGGCAGUGACAAUGAGAUGCUAAACGGCGACGUUAAGCUAAACUCAAAAACCUGCCUCAGUUCGGAUUGCACUCUGCAACUCGAGUGCAUGAAGCUGGAAUCGCUAGUAAUCGC
Molecule: ribosomal RNA, 432 nt
Filed under: uncultured bacterium
Lineage: Bacteria
Description: bacterial SSU rRNA
Rfam family: Bacterial small subunit ribosomal RNA
Source: RNAcentral